Long non-coding RNA from Oncorhynchus keta (chum salmon), 1259 nucleotides. RefSeq lists it as uncharacterized. The record is from RefSeq and is a predicted model, not a curated record. Lineage: Eukaryota; Metazoa; Chordata; Actinopteri; Salmoniformes; Salmonidae. The transcript is spliced from 3 exons.
GAGGUUGGACCAGUGCCAGUCGGGGAGAAGAAGGUGAACUUGGAGGGGAGUGAAGGGAGUGAAGCAGAGACAGUUAAGGAGUUAAUGGGGAGAUUGGAGGAAAGAGUUAGGAGAGAGCUGUUGUGUUGGUGCAUGAGGCACGACAUUCACCCUACAGAGCGUGUCCUCUCCUCUCCAUGACUCCAUAGAGUCCAUACUCGUACUGAGGUGCGAGCUAGCCGUCUGGUGAAGACUGUGCCAGCCCCACGCCCCAGGCCUCCUGUGCGCCUCACCAGCCCUGCACGUCUUGUGCUCUACGCUCCAGACAUCCAGUGCGCCUCCACAGCCCGGUUCAUCCUCCUCCAAGGACCAGGCCUCCAGCAGGUCUCCCCAGCCCGGUGAGUCCUCCUCCAAGGACCAGGCCUCCAGCAGGUCUCGCCAGCCCGGUGAGUCCUCCUCCAAGGACCAGGCCUCCAGCAGGUCUCGCCAGCCCGGUGAGUCCUCCUCCAAGGACCAGGCCUCCAGCAGGUCUCCACAGCCCGGUUCAUCCUCCUCCAAGGACCAGGCCUCCAGCAGGUCUCGCCAGCCUGGUGAGUCCUGUGCCUGCUCCACCGGCCAGUCCGGCGCCUCCAGCGACGGUCCCCAGUUCGAGGCCUGCAACGAGGGUCCCCAGUCCGGUGCCCGCAAUGAGGGUCCCCAGUUCGGGGCCGGAAAGGAAAAUGUACGCUCACCACCCUGCACCUUGGUCCUGUCAUUUCCACGACGACGUCCAUGACACAUGUCAUCAAAUCUGUCAGUGCUGCUUUGAAUCGCAUCACAAGAUGCGAUUCAUACCUCUCUGCAGCAGACAGACUGUACUGAUACCUGCAUAUACAGUACUGUGCCUUCAGACCACUUGACUUUUCCAACAUUUUGUUGUGUUACAGCCUGAAUUUAAAAUGGAUUCAUUUGAUUUUUUUUUGUUGGCACUGGCCUACACACGCUACCCAUAAAAUGAAGUGGAAUUGUAUUUUCCAUUAUUUUAUUCUGUAUUAAGAGUUUAAAGCUGAAAUCUCUUAAGUCAAUACAUAUUCAACGCCUUUGUCAUGGCAAGCCUAAGAAAGUUCAGGAGUAAUCAUUUGCUUAGUAAUUUCAAUGUUCAAAAUUGUGCACUCUCCUCAAACAAUAUCAUGGUAUUCUUUCACUGUUAUAGCUACUGUAAAUUGGACAGUGCAGUUAGAUUAACAAGAAUGUAAACUUUCUGCCAAUGUCAAAUAUGUCUAUGUCCUGGGAAAUGUUCU